AGAGUUUGAUCAUGGCUCAGAGCGAACGCUGGCGGCAUGCUUAACACAUGCAAGUCGCACGGGCAGCAAUGUCAGUGGCGGACGGGUGAGUAACGCGUAGGUAUCUAUCUCUGGGUGGGGGACAACUGUGGGAAACUACAGCUAAUACCGCAUGACACCUGAGGGUCAAAGGCGCAAGUCGCCUGGAGAGGAGCCUGCGUACGAUUAGCUAGUUGGUGGGGUAAAGGCCUACCAAGGCGACGAUCGUUAGCUGGUCUGAGAGGAUGAUCAGCCACAUUGGGACUGAGACACGGCCCAAACUCCUACGGGAGGCAGCAGUGGGGAAUAUUGGACAAUGGGCGAAAGCCUGAUCCAGCAAUGCCGCGUGUGUGAAGAAGGUCUUCGGAUUGUAAAGCACUUUCGACGGGGACGAUGAUGACGGUACCCGUAGAAGAAGCCCCGGCUAACUUCGUGCCAGCAGCCGCGGUAAUACGAAGGGGGCUAGCGUUGCUCGGGAUGACUGGGCGUAAAGGGCGCGUAGGCGGAUGGUACAGUCAGAUGUGAAAUUCCCGGGCUUAACCUGGGGGCUGCAUUUGAUACGUGUGAUCUAGAGUGAGGAAGAGGGUCGUGGAAUUCCCAGUGUAGAGGUGAAAUUCGUAGAUAUUGGGAAGAACACCGGUGGCGAAGGCGGCGACCUGGUCCUUUUACUGACGCUGAGGCGCGAAAGCGUGGGGAGCAAACAGGAUUAGAUACCCUAGUAGUCC
Molecule: ribosomal RNA, 743 nt
Filed under: uncultured bacterium
Lineage: Bacteria
Description: bacterial SSU rRNA
Rfam family: Bacterial small subunit ribosomal RNA
Source: RNAcentral